This is a long non-coding RNA of Fundulus heteroclitus (mummichog), 301 nucleotides long. RefSeq lists it as uncharacterized. The transcript is spliced from 2 exons. NCBI's taxonomy places the organism in Eukaryota, Metazoa, Chordata, Actinopteri, Cyprinodontiformes, Fundulidae. The record is from RefSeq and is a predicted model, not a curated record.
CACGCGUGGGUUGCAUGUUUGUUCAACCGAGGCGUCUUCAAGGGUAGCAUCUUCUCCACCACUGAUAGCAAGUCCGAGUUGAAGUAGACCUGCUCAAAUCCGACGGGGUUUCUUUUUUCCGUAAGUAUUUGAACGCAACGAUGGAAUCUCGACGUAUCCAUCCUGCGUGAUGACGCGCUGACGUCCUGUGUGGGAUCUGCAGCGAGCCGUCCCAAAGCAGGAAAGCAGGGGUCGGAACAAAGCAUUCAGAUGCUGUCUGGAAAAGAAAAGUUUCUUCUGCUGUGAUUGUUUAACCUUAUUU